Molecule: ribosomal RNA, 435 nt
Filed under: Staphylococcus aureus
Lineage: Bacteria; Bacillati; Bacillota; Bacilli; Caryophanales; Staphylococcaceae
Description: bacterial SSU rRNA
Rfam family: Bacterial small subunit ribosomal RNA
Source: RNAcentral
GCAACCCUUAUCCUUUGUUGCCAGCGGUUAGGCCGGGAACUCAAAGGAGACUGCCAGUGAUAAACUGGAGGAAGGUGGGGAUGACGUCAAGUCAUCAUGGCCCUUACGAGUAGGGCUACACACGUGCUACAAUGGCGCAUACAAAGAGAAGCGACCUCGCGAGAGCAAGCGGACCUCAUAAAGUGCGUCGUAGUCCGGAUUGGAGUCUGCAACUCGACUCCAUGAAGUCGGAAUCGCUAGUAAUCGUGGAUCAGAAUGCCACGGUGAAUACGUUCCCGGGCCUUGUACACACCGCCCGUCACACCAUGGGAGUGGGUUGCAAAAGAAGUAGGUAGCUUAACCUUCGGGAGGGCGCUUACCACUUUGUGAUUCAUGACUGGGGUGAAGUCGUAACAAGGUAACCGUAGGGGAACCUGCGGUUGGAUCACCUCCUUA